AACGUAGGUUCCGAGCGUUAUCCGGAUUUACUGGGCGUAAAGCGCGUUCUGGCGGUUUGGCUAGUCGGGCAUGAAAUCUCUCGGCUCAACCGGGAGAGGUUGUCCGAUACUUCCAGACUUGAGGGCAGUAGAGGGUGGUGGAAUUCCGGGUGUAGUGGUGAAAUGCGUAGAUAUCCGGAGGAACACCAGUGGCGAAAGCGGCCACCUGGACUGCACCUGACGCUGACACGCGAAAGCUAGGGGAGCGAACGGG
Molecule: ribosomal RNA, 253 nt
Filed under: uncultured bacterium
Lineage: Bacteria
Description: partial 16S ribosomal RNA
Rfam family: Bacterial small subunit ribosomal RNA
Source: RNAcentral